AGCCGGGGCUGGGUGGCUGGACGGUGAGGAGGUGGGGAAGCAGCCAGCACGGGUGGGAGCCUGAACAGAGCGGGGCACCUGCUAAGGGGACAAAGGCUUCCAGCCAUCGGGCAGCACAUCAGCGAUGUUGCGAAAUCAAAGGUGCUGCCGUUCACAUGCAGGAUGUGAUUGGAUGGAGGGAGGGUAUGACCCUUAGCUUCAGGCGUGAUCGUGGCCUGGUGGCUGCGUGAGAAGGCGCCCACCUUUCUGAGCGACGCGUACUUGGAUGGGGAAGGACGAAAUGAUGCCGUGACCGAAGUGCCUUAAAGCCUGGCUGCAAAGGGAUCGGACACCGGGCGACGCGUAUGCGGGGGUUUACUGUGCUCUUCUCGCAGCUACUAUGUUUGGAGAUUCUCAUAAUAAAUGCUUUCGAACUGGAUACUCUGUGUUUUAGGAAAGGGUGUGCGUGUUCCCUGCCGAGGAAGAGGCAGAGCGAGCCCGCGGGAGCGGGGAGGGAUCGGUGGAUUGGAGGCUGAUUUUGGGUGUCUGUGUAGGAGCAUCCCUGAGUGUGGGGGGGAGGCUGGGGAGAAAGGAAAUGGGACUUAAAACUGGCUCAUAACCGUUUUUGGGGGGGCGGGGUGUCUGGGAACCUUUAACAACCAAAUGAAAACAUCAUGGACACCCUCCACAUAAACAAGAAAAAUUUACACAAAUGCAACCUCAGGGGUUCGAGGAUUCCCUAAAGCCCAUCGCACCUCCCUGGGUAAGAGCUCCUAAGUCAGUGCACGGUCCUCCAUUUCUAAGACGUAAAGAGACUCUUUCUGUGCCUUUUCUAGGUGCAGUGGAUACGUAAAAAAGCAGCGGGGCAAGAAGAAACAAACCUUUUCCAAGACCGGCAAAAUGCUGAACCACCGGCGCUUUGGGGCUUUGAGGCUCCGGGCAAAUGACUACAAGACGCGGAGCCUCGGUUUUCCCACCAGGAAAAUGCACGGUCGCCUUGCCUCGCCUGCCAGGUGGCUCUGAGGCUGAAACAAAAUGAUGGAAGCUGAAUCAUUGCAAACACGGAGAGGGUUUCGCCUCAUGCCCACGUGCAGAGCUGUGACCACCUUGGGGAGCAGGGACACGGUGACUGCCACCUGAGGGGUGGAAGCCUGAGGAAUCGCCUCCAGCCACAUUCUGGAAGCUGCUGGCUCUUCCAGAGAGGAUGGGGGGCACGCCCCUCAGAGGUCAGGAAGCCCACAGGCUUCGUGCGAGGCCCCAGACCCACGUCACUGCCAAGGACAGAGAAGCCAGGCGGUCUCCUGGGCACCAGGGAAUCCCACACCCUCCAGGACCCCGGGGGCCCCUCGUGCGUAACCUGGAAAAGGGAGAUUUAAUUUCCCAAUAUUGGUUCAUUAGUUCUAACAAAUGUACCGUUAUGAGUACAAGAGGUUAAAAACAGGGGAAUUUGUUAGGGGUUUAUGGGAACCCCUUUGCAUUAUCUUUGUGAUUUUUCUGCAAAUCUGAAACUGGGUCUAAGAAGUAAAGUUUACUAAAGCAUAAGAACAAGCAAAUAAAUACGUCUGUUAGAAUGAUUCCCUGGAGGUGAUAAAGCAUGUGCAUUGGGGGGCAGGGGGGCUGAGAAGCAGCAGGCAGGGGGGCGGGGGUGAGCGGCCCUGCCUUGGCUGGGGAAGGGGAGCAGGCAGAGACCUUGGCCCAGAGAUACGCAACAAACACCGAAAAGGAACUUUUCCAAAGAAGGGUCUUAGAAUCUGACCCUACCAGAAGGGGCUGGGGCUGGGUCCCCUGAGAUUUCCCGGAACGGUUGAUCCUGAC
This 1794-nucleotide long non-coding RNA is filed under the name Lynx pardinus (Iberian lynx). The record is from RNAcentral. Lineage: Eukaryota; Metazoa; Chordata; Mammalia; Carnivora; Felidae.